AUAUACCUUCGGGGAUGGGUGCAAUUCCCUACCGGCGGUGGGGCUUUUAUUAAGCCGAGCCCGCGAGCCUGCAAAGGUUGAUCCGGUCAGAUGCCGGAGCCGACAGUCACAGUCUGGAUGGGAGAAGGUUUUC
RNAcentral lists this non-coding RNA (133 nucleotides) under Peptococcaceae bacterium. RNAcentral's name for it is "FMN sequence". It matches the Rfam family "FMN riboswitch aptamer (RFN element)". From Rfam's summary of the family: The RFN element is a highly conserved domain that is found frequently in the 5'-untranslated regions of prokaryotic mRNAs that encode for flavin mononucleotide (FMN) biosynthesis and transport proteins. This element is a metabolite-dependent riboswitch that directly binds FMN in the absence of proteins. Lineage: Bacteria; Bacillati; Bacillota; Clostridia; Eubacteriales; Peptococcaceae. The record is from RNAcentral.